This 337-nucleotide ribosomal RNA is filed under the name Prymnesium parvum. RNAcentral describes it as "partial Bacterial small subunit ribosomal RNA". It matches the Rfam family "Bacterial small subunit ribosomal RNA", at positions 1 to 343 of the family's 1533-position model. Lineage: Eukaryota; Haptophyta; Prymnesiales; Prymnesiaceae. The record is from RNAcentral.
CUGAAGAGUUUGAUCCUGGCUCAGAUUGAACGCUGGCGGCAUGCUUUACACAUGCAAGUCGAACGGCAGCACGGGCUUCGGUCUGGUGGCGAGUGGCGAACGGGUGAGUAAUAUAUCGGAACGUACCCAGAAGUGGGGGAUAACGUAGCGAAAGUUACGCUAAUACCGCAUACGAUCUAAGGAUGAAAGCAGGGGAUCUUCGGACCUUGUGCUCCUGGAGCGGCCGAUAUCUGAUUAGCUAGUUGGUGAGGUAAAGGCUCACCAAGGCGACGAUCAGUAGCUGGUCUGAGAGGACGACCAGCCACACUGGAACUGAGACACGGUCCAGACUCCUACG